UACGUAGGGUGCAAGCGUUAUCCGGAAUUAUUGGGCGUAAAGAGCUCGUAGGCGGUUUGUCGCGUCUGCCGUGAAAGUCCGGGGCUCAACUCCGGAUCUGCGGUGGGUACGGGCAGACUAGAGUGAUGUAGGGGAGACUGGAAUUCCUGGUGUAGCGGUGAAAUGCGCAGAUAUCAGGAGGAACACCGGUGGCGAAGGCGGGGCUCUGGGCCGUUGCUGACGCUGAGGCGCGACAGCGUGGGGAGCAAACAGG
This 253-nucleotide ribosomal RNA is filed under the name uncultured bacterium. RNAcentral's name for it is "partial 16S ribosomal RNA". It matches the Rfam family "Bacterial small subunit ribosomal RNA", at positions 524 to 776 of the family's 1533-position model. The record is from RNAcentral.